This is a long non-coding RNA of Pseudopipra pipra, 2708 nucleotides long. RefSeq lists it as uncharacterized. Lineage: Eukaryota; Metazoa; Chordata; Aves; Passeriformes; Pipridae. The record is from RefSeq and is a predicted model, not a curated record. The transcript has 2 exons.
GUCUGACCCGGCCACGGACCGCGCUGCUUGCCCGAGACUGCACACCCCGACAGCCCUCCCGUCCCUUUGGGGGACAGCGCCAACCCCCAGAGCCACUGUCCCCACCUCCCUGCACCCCCAAAGCCCAGCCUGUGGUUCCCAUCGUUAAUGGCAAUAACAAACCUGGAGUGACUUGGCUUCCCUCAUGCCACAGAAGUGACACCAGAUCAAGCUCAGCUGGUGGAAAACCCCCUCCACGUCCGUGCACUGCCUGGCACAGCCACUCCUAGGGACCUCAGGGAGCCCAGGGAUGAAAGAGCUACUCCCAAAUGUGGCACCCAUCAGCAUCCCAGGACAGAAACAUGCCUGUCUCUUACAACUUAUAAUACUUAAUACUUAUAGUAUAUAAUGCACACUACAAGUCGAAUUUAAAUUGCUCCUCUGCUAGCAAAUAGCUCUUCACUCAUGUCCAGCAUCACCUCAGGGAUUAUUUGGAAAGGAUGCAGUAAUUUUAUUUGUGAAUUAAAGAAUUAAUUUGGUAUUUAUUUUAUAAACUAGGCUUAUUUUUGGUUUAAGACAAAAAGAAUUGUCGUAAUGAAUCUGCUGAGAUGAGCUCCAUGUAAGCAUCUCCACUUCCUUGCAGAUGCCAAAAUCUCUAGAUAAUUUAUGGUAAUGUUUGUCUAAAGGCCGUGGUGGAAGAUGAACCUCUUGGAUUUGUUUUUCCGUCUUUAUACAACCUGCCUGCCUCCAAAAUUUUUAAUAAUUGCCAAACUGCUGUUAUCUCAGCAUUAUUUUUAUACAAGUUUUUCUACGUCUGGCCCUCAGCUGAACUCAGCCAGGAACAAGCUCACCUCUGGCUGCUGGGUUUGUAGCUUCAGACAUGGACUCAGUGCCCAUGGACAGAGCUGGGGAACCUGCUCCCUGCAACGCUGCUCUCUGUGCUGGCACUGUGAGCGCUACAGAGGCAGAAGCAGCUUCUUCACCCUCCCACCCAAAUUCCACUGCUUUCAUUGCUUUUUUCUCCCGAUUCAAUGACUGCUGGCCUUUGUCUCGUAGUCUGGCAGAGCCUGGCGCCACACACAUCAGAGAGACAAAGAAACAGGCUGGCUUGUCUCUCUGAGCCUGGUAUGAAGAGCCCACAUUGUGUUUUACCACAGAGAGGGAGACAGGCAGAGGGCUGAAGUGUUUUGCUCGGCCUUGGGCACUGUAAAACCCCCUUGUUUCUUUAAAAACAUCAGCCCAAAGUGCUGGCCAGGAAGCACUGACUCUGAGGAAAGGAGCCCCAAGGUCACACUCUCCUGAUCAAAGAUCAGGACACGAAUUUUAAAAUAACAGAAGUGGCUCUUUGCGCAGCACUGAAAGCACAGCCAGCUCACAGCCCCCCACCCAUGCCCAGACCUCCUGGACUGUCACUGGCUGGGUCAGGGAUGACCCAGGAGACCAGUGUUUGCCAGGAUAUGAGCCUGGACAAGGAUCAGGGAAGUCCCUUGGAGCUGCUCAUUAGCAGAGUCAGGAAAGGAGCAAGGUUUUUGGUGUUCCCACCUGAUCCUACUGCUCCUUCCCACUUAUCAGCAGAUCAUUCCAGACUACACCUGUAAAAUAGAGAAGUCAGAAUGAUUUGGGGGUGAAAUGGACAGUAAGAAUCAUCAGGGAAGGGUAUUUCAAGACUGUUUGCGUUUUGAUCUGUCAAAUGCUAAUUUUUCUGUUCCAUUUUAAUGAAAGGUCACUUUCCAGAAUGACAUCAGAAAAUGGUUUAAAGAAGCUGAGCUAGGACCUCAUCUCUGACUAGAAAUUAUGUGCUUUAAUGCAUUUCUUGGCUAAGGACCGAGCUAACAGAUCUACCAGAACAAAUUGCCAUCAGCAGAGAAAAAUAGUGUUUCUUUCCUGCUGACAGAGAGCCCCAUUUAUAGCCAGCUCUUACAUGAAUGCAAAUAUCCAUGGAAAAAAUCAAAUAGUGUAAGACUGUUGACAAACUACCUCUGCACUAGAAACACCAUUGCCUAAAAGCAUCCCUGCUGUCCCUGCCAGUCCAACCAGAGCACAGAUAACUGGUGUAGUUUGCAAUGCCAUAAAUGCAAGAAUUUCAGGGGCCAGAUAAAUAUUUAGAGUCAACGUACUCAGACUUAAUGCUAGGGAAAUUAUUUUUCCCAAACCAGUGUUUGAACCUGUUACAAAAGCUUCCAUGAGCUGAUGUAAACAAAUGAUCAAUGUAGAUGGGUUUCUUUCACACCAGUACAUGAAAAAGUUUUUAAGUAACAUGGUAGGUGGUGUCUCAGUAGAUUUGGGGAACGCAGGAACUGCCAGGAAAUGUGUCUGUCCAGCAACCUGGUCUUGCCUCUUCAAAGGGACUUUUUUUUUUUUUUUUUAAGAGGUCCAGACCUUCAUCCCACCCCCCAAGCAUAUGUAUAAGGCUCUUAACCUUUCCACAUUUCUCUGCAGGAGCUGAGUGUGGCAACAAAAUGGGCUCUUCAUCAUGGGCACUGUUCACCCGUCUUCUUAGUUAGCAGGAGUGCUGCGUUCGGAGUCACACUGAGCCUGAAAUCCAACAAAGGCCUCCGGCAUAAAGCAGUUACUGAUCGAGUGCCAGAUCGAGUGCUGAACUGAAAAAGGUGUAAAUGGCAACAUGCCACAACAGUAACAUCAGACAGCUUUAACUUUGGCUCAUACCAUCUUAUUCCUGGGAAACAGCGUGACUUCGCAACGAAAUACAGUGAAACUUGCUUUCUUCA